ACAGUAGAACUUUCCAGAGAUGGGAUUGGGCCUUCGGGAGUCAGACACAGGUGGGCAUGGCGUGUCAGCUCGGGUGGGAGAUGUUGGGUUAAGUCCCGUAACGAGCGCAACCCUUGUCCUUAGUUACCAGCACGUUAUGGUGGGCACUUAAGGAGACUGCCGGUGACAAACCGGAGGAAGGUGGGGAUGACGUCAAGUCAUCAUGGCCCUUACGGCCAGGGCUACACACGUGCUACAAUGGUCGGUACAGAGGGUUGCCAAGCCGCGAGGCGGAGCUAAUCUCACAAAACCGAUCGUAGUCCGGAUCGCAGUCUGCAACUCGACUGCGUGAAGUCGGAAUCGCUAGUAAUCGUGAAUCAGAAUGUCACGGUGAAUACGUUCCCGGGCCUUGUACACACCGCCCGUCACACCAUGGGAGUGGGUUGCUCCAGAAGUAGCUAGUCUAACCUUCGGGGGGACGGUUACCACGGAGUGAUUCAUGACUGGGGUGAAGUCGUAACAAGGUAACCGUAA
RNAcentral lists this ribosomal RNA (513 nucleotides) under uncultured Pseudomonas sp. RNAcentral's name for it is "bacterial SSU rRNA". It matches the Rfam family "Bacterial small subunit ribosomal RNA", at positions 989 to 1505 of the family's 1533-position model. The record is from RNAcentral. Lineage: Bacteria; Pseudomonadati; Pseudomonadota; Gammaproteobacteria; Pseudomonadales; Pseudomonadaceae.